AAUCAACGCUGGCGGCAUGCCUAACACAUGCAAGUCGAGCGAGAAAGUGUAGCAAUACAUGAGUACAGCGGCGCACGGGUGAGUAACACGUGGAUAACCUGCCUCAAAGUGGGGAAUAACACCGGGAAACCGGUGCUAAUACCGCAUACACCGAUGAGAUCUGUGGAUUUCGUCGGGAAAGGAGCAAUUCGCUAUGAGAGGGGUCCGG
RNAcentral lists this ribosomal RNA (208 nucleotides) under uncultured bacterium. Its description in RNAcentral is "partial 16S ribosomal RNA". It matches the Rfam family "Bacterial small subunit ribosomal RNA", at positions 32 to 234 of the family's 1533-position model. The record is from RNAcentral.